Molecule: ribosomal RNA, 459 nt
Filed under: uncultured bacterium
Lineage: Bacteria
Description: SSU rRNA
Rfam family: Bacterial small subunit ribosomal RNA
Source: RNAcentral
AGAAUCAACGCUGGCGGCGUGCCUAACACAUGCAAGUCGAUCGAGAAAGUGGAGCAAUCCAUGAGUAAAGAGGCGCACGGGUGAGUAACACGUGACUAACCUACCUUCGAGUGGGGAAUAACCUGGGGAAACCCGGGCUAAUACCGCAUAAUACCUACGGGUCAAAGGAGCAAUUCGCUUGAAGAGGGGGUCGCGGCAGAUUAGUUAGUUGGCGGGGUAAUGGCCCACCAAGACGAUGAUCUGUAUCCGGCCUGAGAGGGCGCACGGACACACUGGAACUGAAACACGGUCCAGACUCCUACGGGAGGCAGCAGUGGGAAUUUUGCGCAAUGGGGGAAACCCUGACGCAGCAACGCCGCGUGGAGGAUGAAGUCCCUUGGGACGUAAACUCCUUUCGACCGGGACGAUUAUGACGGUACCGGAUGAAGAAGCCCCGGCUAACUUCGCGCCAGCAGCCGC